AAAGCGUGCGCAGGCGGUUUUGUAAGUCUGUCGUGAAAUCCCCGGGCUCAACCUGGGAAUGGCGAUGGAGACUGCAAGGCUAGAAUCUGGCAGAGGGGGGUAGAAUUCCACGUGUAGCAGUGAAAUGCGUAGAUAUGUGGAGGAACACCGAUGGCGAAGGCAGCCCCCUGGGCUAAGAUUGACGCUCAUGCACGAAAGCGUGGGGAGCAAACAGGAUUAGAUACCCGUGU
RNAcentral lists this ribosomal RNA (230 nucleotides) under uncultured bacterium. RNAcentral describes it as "partial 16S ribosomal RNA". It matches the Rfam family "Bacterial small subunit ribosomal RNA", at positions 562 to 791 of the family's 1533-position model. The record is from RNAcentral.